AACGAACGCUGGCGGCAGGCUUAACACAUGCAGGUCGAGCGCCCCGCCAGGGGAGCGGCCGACGGGUGAGUAACGCGUGGGAACGUACCUUUUGGUUCGGAACAACUCCGGGAAACUGGAGCUAAUACCGGAUAAGCCCUAACGGGGAAAGAGUUAUCGCCGAAAGAUCGGGCCGCGUCUGAUUAGCUAGUUGGUGAGGUAACGGCUCACCAAGGCGACGAUCAGUAGCUGGUCUGAGAGGAUGAUCAGCCACACUGGGACUGAGACACGGCCCAGACUCCUACGGGAGGCAGCAGUGGGUAAUACUGGACAAUGGGCGCAAGCCUGAUCCAGCCAUGCCGCGUGAGUGAUGAAGGCCUUAGGGUUGUAAAGCUCUUUUGUCCGGGAAGAUAAUGACUGUACCGGAAGAAUAAGCCCCGGCUAACUUCGUG
Molecule: ribosomal RNA, 431 nt
Filed under: uncultured bacterium
Lineage: Bacteria
Description: partial 16S ribosomal RNA
Rfam family: Bacterial small subunit ribosomal RNA
Source: RNAcentral